Molecule: ribosomal RNA, 448 nt
Filed under: uncultured bacterium
Lineage: Bacteria
Description: partial 16S ribosomal RNA
Rfam family: Bacterial small subunit ribosomal RNA
Source: RNAcentral
GUGCCAGACUCCUACGGGAGGCAGCAGUGGGGAAUAUUGCACAAUGGGGGAAACCCUGAUGCAGCGACGCCGCGUGAGCGAUGAAGUAUUUCGGUAUGUAAAGCUCUAUCAGCAGGGAAGAAAAUGACGGUACCUGACUAAGAAGCCCCGGCUAACUACGCGCCAGCAGCCGCGGUAAUACGUAGGGGGCAAGCGUUAUCCGGAUUUACUGGGUGUAAAGGGAGCGUAGACGGCGGUGCAAGCCAGAUGUGAAAGCCCGGGGCCCAACCCCGGGACUGCCCUUGGAACUGCAUGGCUGGAGUGCGGGAGGGGCAGGCGGAAUUCCUGGUGUAGCGGUGAAAUGCGUAGAUAUCAGGAGGAACACCAGUGGCGAAGGCGGCUUACUGGACGGCAACUGACGCUGAGGCUCGAAAGCGUGGGGAGCAAACAGGAUUAGAUACCCCAGUAU